This 993-nucleotide long non-coding RNA is filed under the name Cricetulus griseus (Chinese hamster). RNAcentral's name for it is "lncRNA (ENSCGRG00015039519.1)". The record is from RNAcentral. Lineage: Eukaryota; Metazoa; Chordata; Mammalia; Rodentia; Cricetidae.
UAAUCAAACAGAGCCACCCUCCCGUUAACCUCUGCCCUGGUUUCAGAAUGUCUUUCACCUUUCCCCUCGUUGUUUUGACUCUUUAAAGCAGUCUGGAUUAUGUGUUGGUAGUAGUGGUGAGGGUGGAGGAUGGAGAGCUGACGGGGAGGAUUUGUUCCUGUGCAAAGUCCAGCUUUCCUCUCAAUCAGGUUGGGCAGAAUGAGAUCAGCAGACAAGUUCAGCUCUCAAUGAGGAGAGGGAAAGAGAUUUCCCCCACCCCCUGCCCGGGACAAAGGGCAGGGGAGUAGAGGUGCCUGUGGAGACCUGAAGAGGGUUCCAGAAGAAGACAUCGGAUCCCUGAUGUGAGUUUGGAGAACAAUAUUCCAGUCCUCUGCAAGAGCAGCAAGCACUUUUAACCACUGAGGUGUGGCUAUUAAUCCCAGCGAUCAAGAAUAAACCAUUUCCACAGUUUAAAGCCAAAUUCAAAGCAAGUUUUAAUUAAAUACUGGCCAGGUGGAUGGGCUCUGACCAGGGCCAUACCCAGAUUCCCAGGAAACGGCCCAGAAUCACAGUUUGUAGCGGCUUAAGAAGGGAAACCCAUCAGGUCCAAUCAGGGGCAAGCAUACCUCCUGAUAUACCUCCAUCUUGUGAGCCCCAACCCCAGCGGGCCCACAUGUGAUCAAGCACAGGGGUGCAGAUUGGUCAACAAACUUGUUUAGGGGGGUGAAGACAUGUGACUUGUUAUUUCUCCCUUAAACAACAGCCUCCAGCAUUUCAGGAACUAGCUGUCCUUGGGUAAGAAGCCUGAAGAUCAGGAGCAUUUUGUUCCAUGGAGUAGGCAUAGUAAUUAAAACUUAAACUAGAGUCUCCAGACAAAGGGAAGGCACCAAAAAGCACAGUUCGGCAUUCUUGUUGGCUACUACAACUUGCUCCCCUGAAGUUCCCACCUAAAGUGUUAAGCUUUUGACCAUACUUGGGCACAAACCCAGCUUGUGGCAGACUCGUCAUCACCCC